UACGUAGGUCCCGAGCGUUGUCCGGAUUUAUUGGGCGUAAAGCGAGCGCAGGUGGUUUAUUAAGUCUGGUGUAAAAGGCAGUGACUCAACCAUUGUAUGCAUUGGAAACUGGUAGACUUGAGUGCAGGAGAGGAGAGUGGAAUUCCAUGUGUAGCGGUGAAAUGCGUAGAUAUAUGGAGGAACACCGGUGGCGAAAGCGGCUCUCUGGCCUGUAACUGACACUGAGGCUCGAAAGCGUGGGGAGCAAAUAGG
RNAcentral lists this ribosomal RNA (252 nucleotides) under uncultured bacterium. RNAcentral describes it as "partial 16S ribosomal RNA". It matches the Rfam family "Bacterial small subunit ribosomal RNA", at positions 524 to 776 of the family's 1533-position model. The record is from RNAcentral.